RNAcentral lists this small RNA (129 nucleotides) under Klebsiella pneumoniae. Its description in RNAcentral is "RtT sRNA". It matches the Rfam family "RtT RNA". Rfam says of the family: This family represents a bacterial cis-regulatory element known as RtT RNA. The exact function of RtT is unknown although it is thought that it may be involved in changing the cellular response in relation to amino acid starvation. Lineage: Bacteria; Pseudomonadati; Pseudomonadota; Gammaproteobacteria; Enterobacterales; Enterobacteriaceae. The record is from RNAcentral.
UCUGCCCCACGGGGAAGGAUGAGAAGCUUCGACCAAGGUUCGACUCGAGCGAAGCGAGAGAACGUUGCCGCAGGCAACGGCCCGAAGGGCGAGGCGCUUUAGCGCCGAGUAAUCCUUCCCCCACCACCA